UCUCCGUAGGUGAACCUGCGGAGGGAUCAUUACAGAGUUCAUGCCCUCCGGGUAGAUCUCCCACCCAUUGCUAUAACUACUCUCGUUGCUUUGCCGGGCCGCUGGGCCCUGCCCGGCCGCCGGCCCCGGCUGGCGCGUGCCCGCCAGAGACCUCACAAACUCUGAAUGUUAGUGUCGUCCGAGUAACUAUACAAUCGUUAAAACUUUCAACAACGGAUCUCUUGGUUCUG
Molecule: unclassified non-coding RNA, 230 nt
Filed under: plant metagenome
Description: partial contains small subunit ribosomal RNA, internal transcribed spacer 1, and 5.8S ribosomal RNA
Source: RNAcentral